GAGAUAUACUGUUUUUUUUUUUUCCUUGAUUCCUUCAACUCUUGCUAGAUUUUCUGAUCCAAGUGAAUUAAAAAGUAUAUUACACUGAUUUCGAUAUAUUAUAUAAUUCUGUGCUGUACGCCAAACUUUCUUGUUUCUAUUUAGGGAGUAGGAAUUCUAUUGUCAUAUCUAUGUAAUUCAUUGCAUCCAUUAGAACUAUCAACUGGAAAAUCAAUUUAGUUCUGUUAUCUACAAACGUACAUGGGAAAGUGAGACUUGUUCAUUGAAUGGCACACCAAGAUAAACACCAAGUUAUCAAAGCCUAACAAGGGAAAAUAUAAACAGUACACUGAAAAUAAAACAAACGACGAGAAAGGUUCCACACAAUGUAACAGUUAGAAAUUUUUUUUUUUUUUAUGCACACUUUGAAGGGCUUAAGCUUGCGAACCCCACAAAGCCCAAUUGGCCUCACUACCAACACGGGGCAUGCUGCUAAUCCUGGAUUGAUUAUCAACCUUAAAGUUGGCUCCACACAUGGCCCCCUCACUAUCAAUUCUGGGCAUUGCCUUCAUUUUGCUCAUUGGAUGUUCAAAGCUCAUCAACCCUUGUUCGCUGUGGAACAUGCACCCAGAUGGAAAUGGUGCAAAUGACUUGGCACAACUUCCUUUAAUGACCUCCAAGUUGUCGGAUAUCACCACCGAUCCAUCACCAGCAAUCCCCCAGAAUAGCCCCACACCUUCAUUUGCACCCAGGGCAGCAAAGACAUGUCCAGCUUUGGUAUCAUAGACCACGAAUCCGAAUGUGCCCUCAAGAUCCUUUAGGACCUGAUGGGCUGGGUAUGGGCCACGAUCACGUAGGGUUCUGUAAGCUUCAAUUACAAACAUGGCCUCGUUGGUGCCCUUCGACAGCCCAUACUGUCUAUUGAGGCUACAUAAGUUGUUCAAGCUUCCCAAGAAAAUGCAGUAUAUGUCAUUCAAUCCACAGAACAACCUCUGGUGAAUAGAGUAAGGAUUUUGUGGAGGAAUAUAAGCAAGAGAAGCAACAUCUCCAAAGCUAAUUGAGAAAGUAUUAGAGGGAUUAGAAGAUUCAAAAUCCUUAAGAAUCUCCUGAGGAUGCUUUGGCUUUCUCGAUGAUGCCAAUGAAGCUGGGCUAUUCAGCUCCUGAGGUGGUUUCACCAACCCUUUCUUGAAUAUAGCCAACAUAUUUCUUCAAUCAAAAUUGAAAUAAGAUCUCAAAAAGGAAUGAAACAGAGGCCCAACGGAUACAAUACAGUACAGACACAGAUACUGAU
This 1270-nucleotide unclassified non-coding RNA is filed under the name Hevea brasiliensis (rubber tree). The record is from RNAcentral. Lineage: Eukaryota; Viridiplantae; Streptophyta; Magnoliopsida; Malpighiales; Euphorbiaceae.